CAUCCCUGAGUCAUUCCACUUCGAUUCCUCUUGUCCUUUUCCCAGGAAUAAGAGAAUCGAAGUGGAACGCCUCAAGGAUG
Non-coding RNA from Marchantia polymorpha subsp. ruderalis, 80 nucleotides. The record is from the annotation of a GenBank genome assembly. NCBI's taxonomy places the organism in Eukaryota, Viridiplantae, Streptophyta, Marchantiopsida, Marchantiales, Marchantiaceae.